Molecule: transfer RNA, 69 nt
Filed under: Cercocebus atys (sooty mangabey)
Lineage: Eukaryota; Metazoa; Chordata; Mammalia; Primates; Cercopithecidae
Description: tRNA-Val
Rfam family: tRNA
About the family: Transfer RNA (tRNA) molecules are approximately 80 nucleotides in length. Their secondary structure includes four short double-helical elements and three loops (D, anti-codon, and T loops). Further hydrogen bonds mediate the characteristic L-shaped molecular structure. tRNAs have two regions of fundamental functional importance: the anti-codon, which is responsible for specific mRNA codon recognition, and the 3' end, to which the tRNAs corresponding amino acid is attached (by aminoacyl-tRNA synthetases). tRNAs cope with the degeneracy of the genetic code in two manners: having more than one tRNA (with a specific anti-codon) for a particular amino acid; and 'wobble' base-pairing, i.e. permitting non-standard base-pairing at the 3rd anti-codon position.
Source: RNAcentral
CAAGGUGUAGCUUAACACAAAGCAUCUGGCUUACACCCAGAAGAUCUCAGUACCACUUGAUUGCCUUGA